RNAcentral lists this long non-coding RNA (573 nucleotides) under Monodelphis domestica (gray short-tailed opossum). RNAcentral describes it as "lncRNA (ENSMODG00000038215.1)". Lineage: Eukaryota; Metazoa; Chordata; Mammalia; Didelphimorphia; Didelphidae. The record is from RNAcentral.
GUGGGUCAUUUGGAAGGAUAACAUUUGCCUGAGAGAUGAUGAAGAAAUUGAAGUCUACCAAAGGUUCUGAUCACUUCAAUUUGCAUUACUCCAUGUUAGUCUUUCCAGGUUUUUUGGUGAUCAUCUUGUCAUUUCUUAUGGCCCAAUGGAGGAAAUCAAGGACCAGAAAGGGACAUUGACCAUGUCAUGGCACAUAACAAAUGUUAUGGGCACAUAACAAAUCAAGUUGCAGAAAUGGGCCCAGAAUACAAGAUAUUUAGAAGUUUCCUCUUAGAUAAAAUCACCUGGAGAGAAAGAUGGCAAACCAUACCAUUAUCUGCCAAGAAAAAUCCAAAUGGGCUCACAAAGACUGAACAACAACACAUGCCAGUUGAAGAAACUGAGGUCCAGAGAGGUGAAAUGGUUGUCAGAAAGAGAAGGGAAGGAGAAGGAAAGGCAAGAAGAAAAGAAGGAAAGAUUUCUUCCACCAGAGACUCUGGUAUACCAUGUGCAUCCUCUUCUGAAGCAGGAAACCAGAAGAAUGUUUAUCUCCUCUCAAGUUCUCAUGCCAAUUCUGUCUUUUACUUGGGAUAA